CUCAUUUUUCCUUGUUCGGGGUUUGAGGUGCCACCUUACAAAAGGAUGGGUGUACGCUCUCUUUUCAGAAUGUGGUUCAUCUCAAAGCCCUUUACACUUUGGAGCCAGGCCUGUUCAAUUUUACAAAUAACACGUUUUGCUUGUAGUCAGGGUGCUGUGACAACAUGAAGAGUUCGAGCUACCUCCCAGGAUGAGUGCAGGUUUUCCUGGUGACAAAUCUCAGGCAUUCAAAGGUUCUGUUAGCAGUGCCAUACUUGUGGGUUUACAGAGAUGGUGUGUCUGGCUGAGAACAAAGGAGCCGUACCAGGUAUAUGUCUUAGUAAUGCUUUUUGUAGUAUAAGGUUGAAUAUAUAAUACUUAGACCUAGUGAAUUCCUGCUCACCCUGAUGAACUGAAUACCGCCCCAGUCUGAUAGCUGUGGAGAAAGGUAUUUUCUGAGUUGUGAGCUCAUUUUGGAUCAAGUAGGAAAUUUUUUAUGCUAAUACUAGCAUAGUAUUAAUACUAGCAUAAGCUUUUGUAAAAGAAGCUUAAGCAUUAAUGGCCCAAAUUGUUUGCUAUUUUGUAGGAAAGUUGAAGCAUAUCUUCAUUUUCAAGUCCAGGCUAAAAUAAGGUGAGAAAACUUAGAUGAAAAGUAUGCUGAACUAUAAUUUCCCCAUGAAGAAAUGUUCACACGUCCUACUUCCUGUCCUAGCUCCAGAGCCUGAAAAGGUGAACCCACUGGGGCUGGCUGGGGGAAAAGAGGAAACUUUGUUCCAGAAGGAACUGUCUGAGGGAUCAUUUUUGUGCGUAGAAAGGGAAGAAUUCUCACUUGAUUAAAGAGGAAUCAAAAGGUGAUUUACUUGUUUUACAGGUCUGAGGAAAAGAAUGAGCUGCGUGUGAAGGAUAGGAACAGAAAUCAUGAAAGAUCUGUUUGUCCAGGCCAGUGUUUCACCAUAAGAGAUCACUUUAAAAUAAAUGAUGAAAUAAUUCUUUGCAAUUGCAAAUUUACCUUCCUUGCUUACCACAUUGUUAACUGUAGGAGCUGAUACCUGGUUCUUCCACUGUUAACUUGUACUCUGUGUUUGUUCUAGCAAUAAAUGCUCUUUAUGCUA
Molecule: long non-coding RNA, 1091 nt
Filed under: Mus musculus (house mouse)
Lineage: Eukaryota; Metazoa; Chordata; Mammalia; Rodentia; Muridae
Source: RNAcentral